AGAUCGGUAGCACAGUGGAUAGUGCAGUCUGUCGAAAACAGAAAGACGCGGGUUCAAUUUCCGUCCGAUGUC
This 72-nucleotide transfer RNA is filed under the name Nippostrongylus brasiliensis. It matches the Rfam family "tRNA". Rfam says of the family: Transfer RNA (tRNA) molecules are approximately 80 nucleotides in length. Their secondary structure includes four short double-helical elements and three loops (D, anti-codon, and T loops). Further hydrogen bonds mediate the characteristic L-shaped molecular structure. tRNAs have two regions of fundamental functional importance: the anti-codon, which is responsible for specific mRNA codon recognition, and the 3' end, to which the tRNAs corresponding amino acid is attached (by aminoacyl-tRNA synthetases). tRNAs cope with the degeneracy of the genetic code in two manners: having more than one tRNA (with a specific anti-codon) for a particular amino acid; and 'wobble' base-pairing, i.e. permitting non-standard base-pairing at the 3rd anti-codon position. Lineage: Eukaryota; Metazoa; Nematoda; Chromadorea; Rhabditida; Heligmosomidae. The record is from Rfam by way of RNAcentral.